AAGAGACCGAACAAGAAGGCUGGGAAGUUGAAGACCCAUCAGUUCACUGGCGCGCGUUCAUGUGAGAAGGGACCUGUGUUCCAAAAUGUUUUUCAAGACACAGGAACCAUCCGGUUGGAAUAUUACUGAAGUUUCACGUUCUAAAGGCCCUAAAGAUUGAUGCUUUACAACGUUUGACAUGUUUGAACGAACGUAAAUAGAUUUUUUUUUAAACUUUUCUUUUUGGCGUGCUUCCAACAUUUGGAGUAGCUGAACUGAACGUGCGAACAACAAGGAGCUAUUUGGACAUAAAUUAUGGAGUUUAUCGAACAAAACAAGAUUUAUUGUGGACCUGGGAUCCCUGGAAGUGCCUUCUGAUGAAGAUUAUUAAAGAUUCCGUCUCUCGGUACACAGUUGAGGUACACAGUUGAAGUGUACCUAUGAUAAAAAAUUACAGACCUCUACAUGCUUGAGACCCUGUUUGAGCGCAUAGCCAUGGACCUAAUGGUAC
This 490-nucleotide long non-coding RNA is filed under the name Salmo salar (Atlantic salmon). RNAcentral's name for it is "lncRNA (ENSSSAG00000107435.1)". Lineage: Eukaryota; Metazoa; Chordata; Actinopteri; Salmoniformes; Salmonidae. The record is from RNAcentral.